Momordica charantia (bitter melon) is the source of this 1545-nucleotide long non-coding RNA. RefSeq lists it as uncharacterized. NCBI's taxonomy places the organism in Eukaryota, Viridiplantae, Streptophyta, Magnoliopsida, Cucurbitales, Cucurbitaceae. The record is from RefSeq and is a predicted model, not a curated record.
UUUCGAUUUUGACUUUCUUCCCAUUCUUCGUUCGUCAUGACUGAUUCCAACGUCCCCAUUUUUACACCGUCGUUGUCUUCUGAGACAAUUCCGGCUUCUACAUCUCUUCCUUCAUCUUGCAAUGAUUCUCCUCCGAAUCCCUACUACCUUCAUCAUACUGAUAACACAGGUCUUGUUCUUGUGAAUCAACUCUCAUUGAGGAGAAUUACACGUCGUGGAGUCGAUCGAUGAUAAUUGCACUCUCUGUCAAGAACAAGUUAGGUUUCGUUGAUGGAACCAUUCUACUUCCUUCUAGAGAUUUACUCCAUGCCUGGAUUCGAAACAAUCACGUUGUUAUUGCCUAGAUCCUCAAUUCGGUGUCCAAGGAAAUUUCCACGAGCAUCCUAUUUCCGGAAUCUGCUUGGGACAUUUGGAUCGACCUAAAGGAAAGAUUUGAGAAGAGCAAUGGACCUCGUAUUUUUCAAUUGAAGCGUGAAUUGGCUACCCGCUCUAAACAACAUUCGGUGAGUUUUUAUUUCACCAAAAUCAAGUCGCUAUGGGACGAAUUAAGUUAAUAUCAACCGAUAUGUUCUUGCAAGUGUUCUUGCGGUGGUGCCAAAUCUGCUGCUGAGUUCCUUCCGUAUGAGUAUUUGAUGAAUUUCCUCAUGGGAUUUAAUGAAUCCUAUGCUCAAAUUCGUGCUAAACUAUUACUCAUGGAACCUCCACCUACCAUCAAUAAAGCGUUUUCUCUUGUUAAUCAAGAAGAACAACAACGCUCAAUCAAUACGACUUCAUCGUCGAAUUCCGCUUCACCUGCAUUUGCGCUCGCUGUUCAACAAUCGCCGCCCUCUGGAAAGGUUGUGUCUAAGCCAAAUUUUAAAUCCAAUUCAAGGACAAAUCGUUAGCGCCCUUUUUGCACUCACUGUGGAAAAGUCACACAGUUGAGCAUUGAUACAAAUUGCUCGGCUAUCCCCCUGGCUCUAAAUCUUUAGGCCAGCGUCAUUCUCAUCUGCUUCGUCACAUAAGCCAAGCAAUUCUUCCUCAUAAAGUCCUACUCCUCAAUCGAAGCCUGUUGAUUCUUAGGCAAUGACUGCUUCUCAAACCACUUUUGACAUGGCUGCUUAGUGUCAACAAUUGAUUCAGCUUCUUCAAUCUCAGAUGAAUGCCUCCAAGAACACUUCAGAUGACUCUGCAAAUUCAUAUAUGGCAGAUUCUGUUUGCGGAUAAUUCUUGUGUUGCUCAGGACAAGUCCACUUCGAGGAUGAUUGAAAGAAGUAAAUUGAGAAAUUGUCUCUAUUUUCUUGAGGAUUCUUCAUUGACUGGUGAUGUUCCCUCAUUACAUUAUGAUGUUCAUACUUCUAUGGCUGUUAGUAAUACAUUUGAUAUUUGGCACAAUCGUUAAUCGUUUUAAACAUCCCUCAUUUACACGCUUGAAUGUAUUACGUGAUACUUUGUGUUUUGAUUCACAUACUUGUAAGCAGCAUCUUUGUUCGAUAUGUCCUUUGGCUAGGCAAAAACGCUUGUCUUUUGAUUCCAGUAAUAACAAAGUUGCUCGUCCCUUUGAUU